UGGCUCAGAACGAACGCUGGCGGCAGGCUUAACACAUGCAAGUCGAGCGCCCCGCAAGGGGAGCGGCAGACGGGUGAGUAACGCGUGGGAAUCUACCCUUGACUACGGAAUAACGCAGGGAAACUUGUGCUAAUACCGUAUGUGUCCUUCGGGAGAAAGAUUUAUCGGUCAAGGAUGAGCCCGCGUUGGAUUAGCUAGUUGGUGGGGUAAAGGCCUACCAAGGCGACGAUCCAUAGCUGGUCUGAGAGGAUGAUCAGCCACAUUGGGACUGAGACACGGCCCAAACUCCUACGGGAGGCAGCAGUGGGGAAUAUUGGACAAUGGGCGCAAGCCUGAUCCAGCCAUGCCGCGUGAGUGAUGAAGGCCCUAGGG
RNAcentral lists this ribosomal RNA (372 nucleotides) under Rhizobium leguminosarum. RNAcentral describes it as "bacterial SSU rRNA". It matches the Rfam family "Bacterial small subunit ribosomal RNA", at positions 20 to 422 of the family's 1533-position model. Lineage: Bacteria; Pseudomonadati; Pseudomonadota; Alphaproteobacteria; Hyphomicrobiales; Rhizobiaceae. The record is from RNAcentral.